This 291-nucleotide ribosomal RNA is filed under the name uncultured bacterium. RNAcentral describes it as "partial 16S ribosomal RNA". It matches the Rfam family "Bacterial small subunit ribosomal RNA", at positions 773 to 1060 of the family's 1533-position model. The record is from RNAcentral.
GUGGAUUAGAUACCCUGGUAGUCCACGCCCUAAACGAUGUCAACUAGGUGUUGGGAGGGUUAAACCUUUUAGUACCGUAGCUAACGCGUGAAGUUGACCGCCUGGGGAGUACGGCCGCAAGGUUAAAACUCAAAGGAAUUGACGUGGACCCGCACAAGCGGUGGAUGAUGUGGAUUAAUUCGAUGCAACGCGAAAAACCUUACCUACCCUUGACAUGUCAGGAAUCCCGAAGAGAUUUGGUAGUGCUCGAAAGAGAACCUGAACACAGGUGCUGCACGGUUGUCGUCUGCU